Molecule: RNA transcript, 4248 nt
Organism: Haliotis rubra (blacklip abalone)
Lineage: Eukaryota; Metazoa; Mollusca; Gastropoda; Lepetellida; Haliotidae
Exons: 16
Source: RefSeq, a predicted model, not a curated record
AUACUAAUGUGUCAAAAUGCGACGUUGGAGCUGUUGAUUUAACACAACACGCACACCCACAGAAUGACUGACAAGACAGGAGAGCUACCUCUUGUUAUACCUAUCUCUAUUCUGGAGGAGUACUUCCAGUGUUCGAUAUGCCUAAACAACAUGACAGACACUAUGACAACGGCAUGCGGACACCGCUAUUGUGGGAAGUGUAUUCAGGAGUGGGUGGACCGCAACCACACCUGUCCCUGCUGCAACAGUGCCGUCAACUCCGUCCAGCUCAUCAAGGACCAUCAGUUCGACAGUCUCAUAGGAGAAGUUGAUUCUGAAAAAUCCAAAGCGGAAGCUAAUUAUUUUGACAAUCUCAUCAACAGUGCUGCCAACUCAUCUAAUGACUUCAGUGACCGCAAGCUGUCACCUGUAGAAGAAGUGUUGAAGAAGCACUUACGACAAGGUCUGACAGCACAUGAGAAGUACUUCCAGAGUCUGCGGCUGGAGUUUGCGCAGCGCAUGCAGACACUGGAGCGGGACACCGAGCGGGCCCUUCAGACACUGAUGUUGGAGGGACUCUCGCCUACAGAGGUGCAGCUGCAGACUGCGGUGAUGGAGUCGCGGCUGACAUCACAGAAAGAUGCUCUCACAGAUCAGCUACAGCUAUGCGUUGACCGAGUGGCAGACGCCUACGACAGGUAUCUGACUGACCACAUUCCCACAUUGGCGAUACUGCCGGUGAAGGUGUCGGUGUACAUCGUAGAUAAAAACCUGCAAAUUCCUGACAUCACCAUCAAGGCUUUUGAUGACAUCACCCACAUACAGACUGUGAUAGAGAAUACCCUGAAAGACAGAGGGGACCCUCUCAUCAGAUGGGGGUGUGAGGGCAGGGUAUACCUUGUGGGCCCCUUAUCAGGUGACAACAGGUCUGACCUUCAGAAGGUCCUUGAUGACCCUGACUGUGUGGAGUCGUUCCCCGACAUCCACCUCCUGACCUGGCACUGUCGUCCAGUGCUGCAGUACAACAUGAAACCAGGCAGUGAGAUUGUGGUAAAGGGCUGCUUCAAGUGUGAGAGUGACCUGCCCAAGAUCUGCUUCGUCCAGAAGUACAAGGAACAGGGUCCCCACCCAGUCGACUACUUCUCCUGUAAAAACUGUGGAUUCAACUGGAUCUGCAGGUCGUGUGUUCAGAUUUGCCAUCAAGGGCAUGAUGUCAGUACGCAUGUACUCAAUCACAAGCCAACCUGGGCUUGCUGCUACUGCCCUAAGAAGAAGAAAUGUCAGCUCCUCUCAUGAUGGACAGAUCCUGAACUAACCAUGGUAGCCAUACCUCCAGCAUGUUACUUGAGGCUCACAGUGUGGAGUCCUGGGUUGAUGUGAUCUGUGAUGUGUUAGACUGUUGGUUUUGAGAAUCCAUUUUGGAUGGAAAGUGUGCCAAGAUUAGUGAAUGUAUGCUUAGUUGUUCUGGGUGUAUGAACAGUUUGGUACAGACUGAGUGUGUGAGUGUUCCUUAUGCUGCAGCCAGCAAACUUCCGUCUGUGUCAGACAAGUAUGUGGUUUGAUAGACAUGAGCAUUGUGUGGAUCCCUGGUGAAGUUGAGAUAGUAUGAGACCACUUGAUGUGCACAAGUUGGAGACCACUUGAUCCUAGACACAGGUUGAGACCAUUUGAUCCUAGACACAGGUUGAGACCACUUGAUCCUAGACACAAGUUGAGACCAUUUGAUCCUAGACACAAGUUGAGACCACUUGAUCCUAGACACAAGUUGAGACCACUUGAUCCUAGACACAAGUUGAGACCACUUGAUCCUAGACACAAGUUGAGACCAUUUGAUCCUAGACACAAGUUGAGACCACUUGAUCCUAGACACAAGUUGAGACCACUUGAUCCUAGACACAGGUUGAGACCACUUGAUCCUAGACACAGGUUGAGACCACUUGAUCCUAGACACAAGUUGAGACCACUUGAUCCUAGACACAAGUUGAGACCACUUGAUCCUCAUAGUUGACAUGCAUGUGGUACUAGAGACUGUUCUUAACAAGAGCUGUUUCAUCAAGAAUAUCAAAUGUCAAAUACACAGUUAAGAUAUGUAGGGAAAUUUGACGGUACACUUCAUUUGUUCCAUAAAUGAAAGUACCAAAUCAAUGAGACCAAAAUGAUAAAAAGUAAUUUAUUUCUGCAUAUGUUUAUAGCUUGACAUACAGUGAUAUGUGAUACAGUUAAAAUGCCCAUGCUGUCAGUAGUUGGUGCCUUGUUAGUACAGUGAACUGUCUACUGGUUACCAUGGUUACUGUAUUCAGUUUCUACCAUGUGACCAUAGUAUAAGCACAGUGUGUCAAGUCAGUUUGGACAGGUCUGUGUAUGCUUGUGGCCUUUAGAUCAGGACAGAUGUUUGAGGGAAUACUUUACAGUGGUGUGUAAGUGACAUGAAACUGAUGCUGUGAUAUAGCAAUAUUAAUCUAUUUACUUUUUAAAACUUUUUUUCACUUUUCCACCAAAUAACUUGCCUAGACGGUACCUCUUGUUUUAUUCUUUGUUAAUAAUAUGUCUUCACUAAGUUUAAUCACUGGAGAUUGUUGAAGUGCAAUUGAUGUGUUCAAGGGUCAUGUAAUGGCAUGUUGACAUAUAAUUCAGUCAUGUUUCCAUGGGAACAAGUAUCAACAAUUAUAGCGUACCACAGCUGGAACAUGUACACUUUCAGGGAUUGGUAAUUGAUAGUUUUGUACAUCAUCACAAACAAGUACAGUAAGUGUACACCAUCAGAGCUCUAAUUGUUUUAGAGGCACAGGUGAAGUAGUAGUAAUCAAACAAAUAAUUUGGAAGUAACCCCCUUCAUUGAAGGCAUCUGUGAUAGCUAUUAGUUGAGUUAAGGGACCAAGUUUCAUAUUUGUUUGUAAUUGAUUUGUUUUAACAUGCCUCUGUCUUCUAAUAAAAUGGACCCAAAACUAAUCCUUGAGAUGAGAUUCACCAAACAACAUACACAAUGUGAUUGGAGAAAGGGUGGCACUUGAUGUAGUACAAUGAUGUUUCAGCAAGGUCCCCAUGGCCAGUCUCAGCACCGGUGUGUUAACCAUUGCAGUCAAAUAAUGGAACCUGAAUACUCACACUCAAAUAUACAGAAAUGAGUAGUAAAAUAAGUAAAAUAAGUAAAAUAAAGAACAAAAAUCAUUCUUAUGUAAUAUGACAAUUUGUCUACUGGAUUUUACUAAAGCGGGUGGCAUCUUGUAUCAUUUGCUAUGAUUCAUUGGGGAAUAUUAUUUAGUACUGACUUUGUUGAUUGUUUGUAUUUCAUGAUACAGAAAUGUAAUGUUAACUGCUGAUGCCAUUAUGGAAGAAAUACCCGAAGGACAAAAUAUGUGUAUGAUUUAUGUGUGUAUGACAGGAUGAUGAAGAUGAGAAUUCAUGUAUGGCUUGAUGUUAUAAGACGAGGUGUAUAUAGUGAUGUAUAUAAUAUUCCCCACAGGGGCACUGAUGGUAGUGAUAUGAGCAUUAUAGCAGUGUCAUAUUGUGAUUGGCUAUUUGUUCAAUUGAACUGAUUGUUUUUUUUAAGCCCUUAAUGAUUUGACUUCAUAUCAACAUAUUGUCACAAAUAAGUAAAGCUGAUAUCAUCCUUUGUUCAUGGUGAUAACAUAAAUAUAUUAUGAUAUUGUGCAAUGUCGUUCCCACGAUAGAUUAACUGAUGCCUCUACUUGUGUAAGGAAAACAUACAUUUUGUGUAUUGUAUUUUACACACUGUUCUUAGGAGAAGAAAACAUUGAUAAUAUAUACAAGAAGCUGUCAAUUAAUGAACUAUCCUCUGUCUUGGGCUCAGAUCUUGAAAGGAAUUGCUCAUGACACAGACUUAGGUUUUCAAACAAAAAGAGAAUCUUACCUGAGUGUCUCUUAUAUCAAAUCAACACAAGUCAGUAUAUAUGACGCCAGAAGACACUGGUGUGAAAUUCUAUUGAUCAUCCACAAUCAUUCUUUCUUGUCUUUCGGUUUGUAAACAGUAAUGACAAGUGUUUAGAGUGUGAAAAGUACAGCAGGUCACCUUCAGCAUCAGAGAGAUCAGUGAUGUCAUUUGAUUGUCACAUUGUGGGAACUGAUGACAUCACAAUGGCCUAUAAAGCAUUGUGAUGUAAUUUCAUCAUAGUGAUAUCUCACCCAACUGAUAUCUCCUGUAGAAGCCGGUUUAAUAAAUAGAGGAUACUAAACUCGCUUCCGUGUAAUACCAAUUUUAUUAAAUGAGUUAAUGAUUUGGUAUCAAACGAGGGAAAGCGAGUUUGAUGC